RNAcentral lists this ribosomal RNA (253 nucleotides) under uncultured bacterium. RNAcentral describes it as "partial 16S ribosomal RNA". It matches the Rfam family "Bacterial small subunit ribosomal RNA", at positions 524 to 776 of the family's 1533-position model. The record is from RNAcentral.
UACGUAGGGACCAAGCGUUGUUCGGAUUUACUGGGCGUAAAGGGCGCGUAGGCGGCAAUUCAAGUCAGUUGUGAAAUCUCCGAGCUUAACUCGGAACGGUCAACUGAUACUGUUUUGCUAGAGUGCAGAAAGGGCAACUGGAAUUCUUGGUGUAGCGGUGAAAUGCGUAGAUACCAAGAGGAACACCUGCGGCGAAGGCGGGUUGCUGGGCCGACACUGACGCUGAAGCGCGAAAGCCAGGGGAGCGAACGGG